RNAcentral lists this long non-coding RNA (2520 nucleotides) under Ananas comosus (pineapple). RNAcentral describes it as "long non-coding RNA (ACOM_LNC021167)". The record is from RNAcentral. Lineage: Eukaryota; Viridiplantae; Streptophyta; Magnoliopsida; Poales; Bromeliaceae.
GUGGUCCACCUCUCUUUUGUUUUCUUUUGUAGAGGUUAUGAGAGUUUUGUACCUGGUUAUAGAGACCACCCUAUUUUUGUAUCUUGAGAUUUAUGAUGUAUCAGUUUACUUUAUGCUUUAGUAGUAUGAUUUUCUUUUGAUUCUACCUGAUGUUAGAACCUAGCUAUAUACUUGCUCUGAUAUCUCUAGUUGCAGAUCUUCUCAUUCUUUAUUCUUCCGCUUUUGUGUAGACGCCUUAUAUGUGUAAACAUAUGGCGGGUCUGGGCGCGCACCGGGCAGGCCUAUGCCGUGUCCCGGGGCGUGACAGAUUAAUUUGGUAUCAGAGCCUAGGGUUGAGUCUUAGUGGACCUAGCGAACCUUAGGCCGGUUGGACUAUAGGAAUUAGACUCGUGAGAGACGAAGGCUAUUUAAUUUAUGAGCGAAAGUAUCAUGAUUGGGUUUCCUUGAUAACUCCAAAAUGUUGGAGUUGAAUCGAAGUGUAUGGCUUCUAACUUCGUGGAGGGUUACGUUGGCGGCCGACGACGUAACAUCAGGAGUUAGUAGUUGGGACACUUCUUUACUUUCGCAUGAUUUGGAGUGUGGUUAUUUGAGCGGGGUUGCGAUAGCGUGGGUUAUAUUAACUUGCGCUUUUAUGAUGUUGUAGUGUUGAUGCCGACUACACGCUCUAAGUCUGUUAGAGCGGAAGAUGCGGCGACUUUUGAGGAAGCGGAGACAUCCGCUACCUCCCGAUCCGGUGAGGUCCGUGAGUUGAGGAGCCAACUUGCCGCCCUCACCGAUUUGGUGACGCAGCAGGCGGCGGCGGCCCAGCAGCAGGCGGACACGGCACGACGGCAGGAGGCACGGAUGCAGCGCCUGGAGGACCUUCUAUUACAGCAGGCAGCUGCUAGGGAGGCUCAGGUCUCGGUACUACCCGCGCCAGUGGAGACAGUUGCACCCGGGGGGGGUCGUCCCCUGUAUUCGACACUUCGCAGACGACACUUACGGUAGCCCAUCGGGAGGAGGUAUUGGCAGCACCACCAGCUCAGUUGCCUGUGGCAGCGGCGACUUUUCCCUUGAUGGUUGAAAGAGCGGAGCGGCAGCGGCUCAUGGAUCGCCUCGAUGAGUUCAGGAGGUGCGAUCCCAGGAUCUUUGAUGGAGAGAAAGCCGACCACCGGAUCGUUGAGAAGUGGUUGAUGCAUGNGGUAUCAGAGCCUAGGGUUGAGUCUUAGUGGACCUAGCGAACCUUAGGCCGGUUGGACUAUAGGAAUUAGACUCGUGAGAGACGAGGUCUAUUUGAUUUAUGAGCGAAAGUAUCAUGAUUGGGUUUCUUUGAUAACUCCAAAAAGGUUGGAGUUCGAUCGAAGUGUAUGGCUUCUAACUUCGCGGAGGGUUACGUUGGCGGCCGACAACGUAACAUCGGGAGUUAGUAGUUGGGACACUUCCUUACUUUCGCAUGAUUUGGGGUAUUAGCAUUUGAGCGGGGUUGCGAUAGCGUGGGUUGUGUUAACUUGCGCUUUCAUGUUGUUGUAGUGUCGAUGCCGACUACACGCUCUAAGUCUGUUGGAGCGGACGAUGCGGCAACUUUUGAGGAAGCGGAGACAUUCGCUACCUCCGGAUCCGGUGAGGUCCGUGAGUUGAGGAGCCAGCUUGCGGCCUGUCACGCCCGGGUACCAGCGGAAGCAUAUCCGGCACGUGCACAGACCCGCCAUACACCUGCAGUAUAUAAGGCGUCUACAAGAAGCAAGUCGAUAGGAAGUAAAACAAGAGAGUCCUAUCCUGAUAUCAGAGCAAAGUACAAGACGAUAUACCACGAGUAUCCAAUCCGAGUCAAUAUACAAAGAGUAUACAAUCCACAAUCUCAGCAAAAAGGAGAAGUAACACCACUACAAUCUCAACCCGAAAGUAAAAAUACAACAGAGGGUAUACAAAAAGAAUAGGCACAACGGUGGUCUCUCUAUACAUAGGGACAUCACCCUCGGCUGAAGUCCGAGUAACAAGGUGAUGACUAGCACGCUCCUAGUAGUCCCUAGCUAGGCGCGACUCCCUUGCCACGAUCCCUAGCCUCUCCUGUAACAGGCUCUGUAAAAACAACCACCAAAAGGGCGUGAGAACUAUAAACAAUAGUUCCCAGUGGGUAAGCCGCCAGCCUCGGCGAAUUACACCACUAGGCUCAUGAUGUACUAAAUGGAAAUAAAAGCAGUAAUUUGCAUGAUAUACUUUCAAUGCUAACAACUAAAGAACAUAUAAUCAUAGUCUCAACAGUAAUGAAUCAACUGAUUAAUAGAAGCAUAGCAACUACUAUAAGCAUGAACAAAAGCAUAAAUGUGUAAGUAACUACUGUACACUGUAACUGGUAAUCAUUCAUUACUGUCCAAUAUCCUUUAGCACUUUCCUUUCAUUCACAGGGAUCUACUCAAGGUAGUCCAGCUUGCGCCGCGCCUAAUGGCCCCGUGGUAGUAUACACUCCCCACGGCAAUCCACUUCGGCACCCAAUCCCGCACGGGCGAGCAACUGUCGCGUAGGCCAACUCCGGAGUGCCGG